This is a non-coding RNA of Myxocyprinus asiaticus (Chinese sucker), 526 nucleotides long. Lineage: Eukaryota; Metazoa; Chordata; Actinopteri; Cypriniformes; Catostomidae. The record is from the annotation of a RefSeq genome assembly.
AUGAAUCAUUUUGUAUCACUGUGGUGGACUUUCGGCAGCGGCACCAGACUGGAAGUUGGCAGCAUCACUCGUCCUAAAGUGAGCGUCCUGCCGCCCUCCAGUGAAGAGAUUUCCACAAAGAACACAGCAACACUGAUGUGUGUGGCCAACAAGGGCUUCCCCUCAGACUGGAGCCUGAGCUGGAAGGUGGACGGGAGCAGCAGGUCUGAGAAGAGCAGUGCUGGGGUCCUGGAGAAGGACGGUCUGUACAGCUGGAGCAGCAGUCUGACUCUCUCUCAGGAGGAGUGGAUGAAGGCGGUCACAGUGAGCUGUGAGGCCAAACAGAAAGACCAGCUGUCAGUCACUGGAGAAGUGAGGAGAGAUCAGUGUUCUGAGUAGAUCCUCUGGAUUCUCUUCUGCUCUUCUCACUCAUGUCUCACAUGGAGACUAACAGUGGCCUUCUAUUCACACAAGUAUAUGUGUGCUUUUGUCUUUCAGUGCUGUUUUCUCUUGUCAUAAUUCAAUAAACAAAUAAAAUAUUCAGUUA